Triplophysa dalaica is the source of this 6227-nucleotide RNA transcript. It is a transcript of the gene named spleen tyrosine kinase, with no coding region annotated. NCBI's taxonomy places the organism in Eukaryota, Metazoa, Chordata, Actinopteri, Cypriniformes, Nemacheilidae. The transcript is spliced from 4 exons. The record is from RefSeq and is a predicted model, not a curated record.
CAUCACAGUCAAUCGGAUCUCGGUGGCGAGGCUUGAUGAGCUUUGGGAGAGGCAGCUGAAGGUGGACUUCCCUGAAACUCUGCAGGAUGAACAACCUGGGCUGUUAAGGGAGGAUGAACGCUUCAUUGAGUUAGUCUCCGAAUCAGCCAAGCUCAUUGAUGGUCAUUACAGUAUUGGUUUGCCGGUAAGACAAAGAUACCUCAAAAUGCCAAAUAAUAAGACCGUUGUAGAACAGCGUGCAUUGAGUCUUAAAAGACGUUUGAAUAAAGAUCCAUCUUUUCGUUCCGAUUACAUCACAUUUAUGUCCAGGAUGCUGUCUAAUGGCUAUGCAGAAAGAAUUCCAUCGGAGCAGCUGGCCCGGUGUGAUGGAAGGGUGUGGUAUAUACCCCAUCAUGGAGUGUAUCAUCAUAAAAAGAAAAAAUUGCGGGUAGUUUUUGAUUGUGGGGCCUCGUUUCAGGGGACGUCUUUGAACUCACAGCUUCUUCAAGGACCAGAUCUCACAAAUCUGUUAGUGGGAGUCCUCACAAGAUUCCGCAAGGAGCCCGUGGUGCUCAUGGCAGAUAUUGAGGCCAUGUAUCAUCAGGUCAGGGUGCCGGCUGAAGAUACUGAUUUGUUGAGAUUUCUGUGGUGGCCUGAUGGAGAUUGCAGUCGAGAGCUAACGGAGUACAGAAUGGUGGCACAUCUGUUCGGCGCUACUUCCUCUCCUAGUUGUGCCUGUUUCGCCCUGAGGAAGUGUGCUGAAGACAAUCAAAAGUGCUUCAGUCCCAUGGCAGUUAACACUGUUCUGCACCAUUUCUACGUAGAUGAUUGUUUGGUGUCUGUCGGCUCUGAGGAGGAAGCAAUAUCUUUAUGUCGAGAGCUUAGUGCCUUGUGUGCUGAAGGCGGUUUUAAGCUUACAAAAUGGACUAGUAACCGACGCACUGUUCUCGCUACUAUUCCGCGCCAAAGAGGUGAAAGAUCUGAAUUUGAAUGCCGAUGCUUUGCCUGUGGAGCAUGCCCUGGGUGUACAGUGGUGUGUCCAAUCUGACUCAUUCAAAUUUAAAAUCAUACUUAAAACCCACCCACUCACAAGGAGAGGAAUCUUGUCUGUGACUAGUUCAAUUUACGACCCUCUUGGUUUCUUGGCGCCUGUUGUUUUAUCCGCCAAGAAAAUCCUCCAAGAUCUUUGCAGGAGACGUCUGGGAUGGGAUGAUCCUUUGCCCUCGGCUUGGCUGGAAGACCUUCAUGGUCUUGAAAAUUGGGAGGUCAGUAGGUGUUUAAAACCUGUGGACUGUGGUCGUCUUGUCUCUGCUCAGCUCCACCACUUUGCAGAUGCAAGUGAAGAAGGGUUUGGGACUGUGACUUACCUGUUAGUCCAUGAUGAUAGCGGGUGUACUCACAGUGCAUUUGUAAUGGGAAAGGCACGAGUAGCUCCUCUAAAACUUGUCACUAUUCCCCGCAUGGAUCUGACUGCUGCAGUGGUGGCUAGCAGAAUGGACAAAUUGUGGAGGAAGGAGCUUCAAAUGGACCUUCAAGAGUCUGUCUUUUGGACGGACAGCACUUCUGUUUUGAAAUAUAUAAAGAACGAGAAGUCCAGAUUUAAAAUCUUCAUAGCAAACAGAGUGUCUGAAAUAUUGAAAAUGUCUAACGUAUCCCAAUGGAGGUACGUGAACACAUUAAACAACCCUGCGGAUCUAGCCUCCAGAGGUGUUAAAGUUCAGUUAUUGUUAAAGACUGGUGCAUGGCUCUGUGGUCCUGAUUUUCUUCACGAGCACGAGAGCAGGUGGCCUGAAAACCCUGAGACCAUGGAAAACUCUCUUGUUGAUGACCCGGAGGUCAAGGUUGUGAUGGUGAACGCUGCUCAGGUUGAGCAGGACAGUCCAUUGGAGAAGCUCAUUGAUUACUUUUCCUCCUGGCACCGUCUAAAAAGAGCUGUCGGUUGGUUUCUCAAGUUUAAGACCUUGCUUUUCUCUCUGGUGCGACAUCGAAAGCUGCUGAGAAAAACCCUGUCAGAAUUGGACCAAAGUGCUGAACAGUUGGAAAGAGAGCUACAGGUCCGAAUGGAGGAAGUCAGGGCUCAAGUGCCAAUGGGUGUCCUGUCCGUGGAUGAUAUGGUUGUAGCUGAGUCAGAUAUUAUCCGUUUUUGUCAGAAAAUAAGGUUUCCAGAAGAGUUGGCCAACUUGAAGAAAGGAGAGUGUGUAAGAAAGACAAGUCACCUCUACAAGCUUAACCCGAUUCUGGAUGGUGAUCUCAUUAGAAUUGGAGGAAGGCUUAGUAGAGCAGCUAUGCCGGUUGAAGCAAAACAUCCCGUUAUCCUGGCUAAAGAUGAACAUGUCUCCACUCUCUUUCUCCGUCAUGUACACCAGGAAACAGGUCAUGGUGGGCGUAACCACAUGCUUUCUCAUCUGCGUCAGAAGUAUUGGGUUCCUGGUGCUUGUGCUGCCAUCAGAAAAGUUUUGACUAAGUGCGUCAUCUGUCGUAGAUUGUCUGCUUCACCUGGACAUCAGAAAAUGGCCGACCUUCCUCAGAACAGAAUAACUCCUGAUGAACCGCCAUUCAGUCGAGUUGGUUUGGACUGCUUUGGACCGUUUGAGGUUAAACGUGGAAGGGCUGUGGUCAAGAGGUAUGGGUUAAUUUUUACAUGCUUGGCGAUGAGAGCUAUACACCUCGAAGUUCUUUCAUCUUUAGACACAGACUCCUUCAUCAAUGGUUUCAGAAGAUUUGUGGCGAGACGUGGUCAAGUCCUAGAAAUCCGUUCGGAUAAUGGUACUAACUUUGUGGGCGCUGAACGUGAAUUGAGGAAGGCCAUUGAGAAUUUGAAUCACAACCUCAUAAAUGACAUAUUGCUACAAAAGAGUGUGAAAUGGGUUUUUAAUCCUCCAGCAGCAUCACACCAUGGAGGUGCUUGGGAAAGGCUGAUAAGGUCAGUCCGUAAAGUGCUAAACUCCAUUUUGAAGACUCAGACCUUGGACGAAGAAAGCUUGGUGACAGUGUUUUGUGAAGCUGAAGCGAUUGUCAAUGGCCGUCCAUUAACGAAAGCGUCGACAGAUCCUCAAGAUUUGGAGGCAUUGACCCCUAACCAUCUUCUUCUGCUUAAAUCGCAGCCGUUGUUGCCUCCAGGGUUGUUCGAGAAGGAGGACGUUUAUGCUCGUCGUCGCUGGAAACAAGUACAGUAUAUGUCGGACUUGUUCUGGAAGCGCUGGGUGAAGGAGUACCUUCCUGGACUUCAGGAGCGCCAGAAGUGGAAUACUGUCAAAAGAAACUUUGUUCCAGGAGAUCUCGUGGUGCUGGUGGAUGAUAUGGCACCUCACAAUACUUGGAUUAUAGGAAGAAUUGUGGAUACUGUUCCGGACAAAAAUGGACUGGUGCGAAGUGUACGGAUUAAAACCAGCUAUUUGAAUAGGCCAAUAACCUAAGUCUGCCUUCAGCAGGAAGUAGAGGGGCAGUGAAGAUCUUCAGAUAUAAUAUACCUGAACUUUGACAUUAUUGGACUUUAAAGGACUAACAGUUAGCUUUGCAUUUUUUGACUGCGGUCUGUCUCCCACAAGGUAAUGGUGAUCAAUUAUUACUUUGAGAUAAUUUGGGGCCGGAAUGUAGGAGCCACACAUUGGGUUUGACUUCAUUUCUUCUUGUACUGCUGUGUAUGUGCACACGCAUUGUGACGUCAUUACUGUGGGUGGCACCGGGGGUGUGGUGUCUACAUUAGUGCGUUCACCUGGGAGGUUAUGGAGCAUGGCUGCAGGGUGAGCAUGGGAAGAAACUUUUUAUUGACCGUCACCAUCGUCACCAUCGUCACCAUCACAUGCAUUAUAUGAAGUAUCUUUGCACGGUUUUUAUGAGUACAUCAAUAACCGUAAGUACCUAUGUUUUUUAAAGCUUGUGAAGGAGAGAAAUAAAGACAUCAUACCAUCAUGUGCAAUGGUUCAGCGUGACGCGUCUUCAAUCGUAAAUUCUCAUGUUUCAGCCUGCUGCGGCGUUUGGUUUAGUUUUGUGUAAAAUACGCCGCAAUAGUUACAAUGCAGUAGUUGAGUUAAUGCAGUUAUUGAAGUUAUAGUGCAAUAGAUGAGUAGAUGCAGUUAUUGAAGUUACAGUGCAGUAGAUGAGUUAAUGCAGUUAUGAAAGUAUUCCAUUAGUGCAAAUGAGCAUUCAGUAUAAUAUUCCUGGUGAGCAAGUGAGCAGUAUAGAGUGCAAAUGAUGCUAUGGUGUGUAAACAGUCCGGUGGAGCAGAUAACAUGAAGUACUGGUGUGUACAGUUCAGUCAUGCAUGGCAGCCAUGUAGUGCAAUGUAAACAAUGUAAUAGCAGCAUUGAAGUUAAAGUUAUGAGGGGUGGUGGAAUCAGUGGGGGGUAGAGUUCAAUAAUGAAACAGCUCUGGGAAAAAAGCUGUUUCCUAGUCUGCUGGUUCUUCUCUGGAGGCACCUGAAGCGCCUACCGGAAGGUAGGAGAGUAAACAGUCUAUGAGCGGGGUUAGAGGAGUCCUUGAGAAUGCUGCGAGCUCGACGCAGACAGCGUUUCUUUUGGAUGUCCUCAAUGGAAGAGAGUGUAGUCCCUGUGAUGUGCUGGGCUGUUUUCACCAUCCGCUGCAGUGCCUUGCGUUCAGCAACAGAACAGUUCCCGUACCAGACUGUGACACAGUUGGUCAGGAUGCUCUCUAUCGUGCAGCGAUAGAAGUUCACCAGGAUAGUUGAAGACAGAAAGAAGAGACGCUGGUGAGCCUUCUUGACCAGGCAUGGGGUGUUGGUGGUCCAGGACAGGUCCUCCGAAAUAUGAGUCCCCAGGAACUUAAAACUGGAAACACGUUCAACAGCCAUCCCAUUAAUGUGGAUGGGGCUGUGUGUGCCUCCUUUCGCCUUCCUGAAGUCCACGAUGAUCUCCUUUGUCUUGGAGGUGUUAAGGAGUAGUUUGUUGUUUGAGUACCAUGUGGCCAGGUGCCGGACCUCCUCCCAGUAAGCAGUGUCAUCGUUGCUGCUGAUGAGACCAAUCACUGUUGUAUCAUCUGCAAACUUGAUGAAGGAGUUAGGUCAAUUCACAGGCCUGCAGUCAAGUGUGAAAAGGGAUUAGAGAAAGGGGCUCAGUACGCAUCCCUGUGGUACACCAGUGUUGAGGGUGAUGGUGGUGGAGCAGAUGUGGCCUACCCUAACCAGCUGAGGCCUGUUCGUCAAGAAAUCCAUAAUCCAGUUGCAGGUUGAGUUGUUAAUGCCUAGGUUUCCAAGUUUGAUGAUUAGUUUGGUGGGGGUCCAGGGUGGGGUCCAGAUGGACUACAAGCUCGCCAUCUAUGGGGUGGGUUGGAGCUUGAGAGCUCUGACCCCACAACAAUUGAUCUCGCUCUGGCUCACCCUGAACAUCAUAAAGGAAGUCCUCUGGACCACCAGAAACCUGCUGGUAGGAAAACAGGUUAUGGUGCCCCUCCACGCCUGCGAGCAGAUGGUGACAUCUAAGCUGCAGGGGCACUGGGCUUUGUCAUUCGGAGGAGGGGCCUGGGGUCACGCUUAGGAUCCCGGCCUUGCCCCCGCACCUGGUCGCCCGUAGAUGCACCCUCACCAAUCUGGCUACGGGAACAGCGGGCCAGCAGGCCGGAGGGAGAGGAUUUCCGCUCGGCGUCAGAAGCAGAAGGAAAUUGACUUGUUCUGCAGAGCGGGGUGAUGGCCAUCUUGUCAGGGACUCCUUCCGGUUCUGGACAAAUGAUGACGAGAGACAGAGUUUUUUUCCCUCUCUGACCUUCUCUCAUUUUAAUGAUUUUAAUUCAGUUCAAUUCAGGUUUUUUUGUAUAGCGCUUUUCACAAUGUGUGAAAAGCUUUCAAAGCGGAAUCUUUCAAAGCAGCUUUACAGGGGCAAACAGGAAAAACAGAAAAGUCCCGGAUUGGACAAUUCUCCCGGAAAAGCACGCGGCACUCCCACGCGGCAGCAUGGAGAGCAGAAGAAGGAUGUCAAGACGUCACUUUCACUUGUGUGCAGGAGAGAGAGCAUGAGUUCAGGUGUUUGUUUGUUCACUGCAUUUGGGUGAUGAAUGUUAUAUAAACGGAGUAUAUAACGCUGGAUUUGGAGAUCAUUUGAAACUGAUAUAUGGAGCCGUCCCAGCGCUAAAAGAUGCCGGACAUGAACUGCAUGUGCUUUCUUUGAACUAUCCACUAAGUUUUUUGGCCAUACCACAUCCUGUUCAUCUAGACAGCAUUUGAAUAUGGUAUGCAGUUGUUGAGUUUUACCAUUUUGUAAGGUUAGUGAGUGUCUACUCUGUGGGUUGAACAGAUA